GGACCAUUCUCGCCAUUCGCCGCUUCUUUUAUCGAAUGAAUUUGCUGCAUCAGUAAAUCGCAGUAUAAUCUAAGUUCUGACUUUUUUCCUUUCGCUAAAUCCGAACAAGCCGAGGAGCAUGAUUCUACCCUGAGCCUUUGCAGAUCCCAGCGCCACCAGCCACCCUGCCCUUUCACCAGGAGACCCCACUCGAACAUAAAUAUGCUGCUCUCCAGGAAUAACUAUGUCUAAUCUGUGAAUAUCUGUUUGAUGCACUGAGGAAAGCAAUGUAAACGAUUAUAAUGAAUAAAUAAAUACCAAUAAAAGUUUGGAAUCGC
Molecule: long non-coding RNA, 317 nt
Organism: Folsomia candida
Lineage: Eukaryota; Metazoa; Arthropoda; Collembola; Entomobryomorpha; Isotomidae
Exons: 2
Source: RefSeq, a predicted model, not a curated record